RNAcentral lists this ribosomal RNA (380 nucleotides) under Eryx miliaris. Its description in RNAcentral is "partial 16S ribosomal RNA". It matches the Rfam family "Bacterial large subunit ribosomal RNA", at positions 1915 to 2511 of the family's 2925-position model. The record is from RNAcentral. Lineage: Eukaryota; Metazoa; Chordata; Lepidosauria; Squamata; Erycidae.
AACAUUUAAACGGCCGCGGUACCCUAACCGUGCAAAGGUAGCGUAAUCAUUUGUCUAUUAAUUGUAGACCAGUAUGAAAGGCCACAUGAGAGCCAAACUGUCUCUUGUAACCAAUCAAUUAAACUGAUCUUCUAGUACAAAAGCUAGAAUAACCAUAUAAGACCAGAAGACCCUGUGAAGCUUAAACUAACCUACUAAACAAACUAGUAGCUACUUUCGGUUGGGGCGACCUUGGAACAAAGCAAAACUUCCAAACACAAUGAGCCAUCCCUCAUAACUACYARGCMAACAAGCCAACAWAUGACCCAGUAACACUGAUAACUGAACCAAGUUACUCCAGGGAUAACAGCGCUAUCUUCUUCCAGAACCCUUAUCAAAAA